UACGGAGGGUGCGAGCGUUGUUCGGAAUCACUGGGCGUAAAGCGCGUGUAGGCGGCCCACUAAGUCUGAUGUGAAAGCCCGGGGCUCACCCCCGGAAGUGCAUUGGAAACUGGUGGACUCGAGUCCCGGAGAGGAGAGUGGAAUUCCUGGUGUAGCGGUGAAAUGCGCAGAUAUCAGGAGGAACACCAAUUGCGAAGGCAGCUCGCUGGGACGUUACUGACGCUGAGACGCGAAAGCGUGGGGAGCAAACAGG
Molecule: ribosomal RNA, 253 nt
Filed under: uncultured bacterium
Lineage: Bacteria
Description: partial 16S ribosomal RNA
Rfam family: Bacterial small subunit ribosomal RNA
Source: RNAcentral